CACAUCAAAACCUGAGCGAAGCACCCCAGGCUGAGCAAAUCACCCUUGCCAAGAUAUGUUUUACUGCAAGGAAGAAUUUGACCAUUUUCUAUUGUAUUCUGAGAAAUAAGCCUACUACACCCAAGCGUUCAAGAGCAGAGCAGCAGCACCAGAGCUGCUCUCAGAGCUGGGCACUGCUGCGGCAGCCUGGAGGGGACGAGAGCCCCAGGAAUGUGGGACAGCAUCAUCCACAAAUCACCUGUGUGAGGGGUGUGCCUUGGGAAGGAUCAUCUGCCACAGGCAUCUUUUAUGGAAAAUCCUUUCCUUAGGGUUUUUCCUCCUGAGAAGCUGGGAG
RNAcentral lists this long non-coding RNA (334 nucleotides) under Junco hyemalis (dark-eyed junco). RNAcentral describes it as "lncRNA (ENSJHYG00000013111.1)". The record is from RNAcentral. Lineage: Eukaryota; Metazoa; Chordata; Aves; Passeriformes; Passerellidae.